GUAUUUAUUUUUAAAUGUAUCCCCUCAGUUACUAAAAGCACCAUAAGCAGCGAUGCCCUGCUGGUCCUUGAAAAGCAGGGAGGUGACGACGGGGAGAGGAAGACUGGCGCGGCCAUUCUUGAACUGGAGGAGGACUUGCUGUCUUACAAAGGCGUGUCCAAAGAGGACGAUGCCUUUGACGAGAAUGACUGACUAUAACAGGCUUUUGGAUGUUGAGGCAGAAGGCAAUGACAAUUCUGAUGAUCCUAACCAGCAUUUGGAAGGUACCUAUGAUGCCUCCAAGGUGCCAGAGCACAGUGACACAGAACUAUGAGGGGGCUGGGGAGCCUGGUCACUUCGAAGAGGCGGAUGAGUGGAGGGCUCUGUCUGCAGAGGAAGCCGGUGGUAACUGAAGAUGCAGUUCUGUCUAGUUGUUGGAUUAUCAUGACUGCUAAAUAAAGAUCUGCCCCUUUAGACCUGAACAACGAGCAAGCGGUCUCGCUGCUCGGCAAGACCACAGACGGACAGGAGAAAAGACCUGAAACUCAGAGAGAAGAAACUAAAGAAAUAGAGAGAAAGUGGGGAAUCCUUGGACAGACCCCGAUGAGGCUGUGUGGUCCAGUGGUUAAAGAAAAGGGCUUGUAACCAGGAGGUCCCUGGUUCAAAUCCCACCUCCGCCACUAAAUCAGUGUGUUACCCUGAGCAAGUCACUUAACCUCCUUGUGCUCCGUCUUUCGGGUGAGAUGUAACUGUAAGUGACUCUGCAGCUGAUGUAUUGUUCACACACCCUAGUCUCUGUAAGUCACCUUGGAUAAAGGCGUCUGCUAAAUAAACAAAUAAUAAUAAUAUUGUUUUAGAGUUAGCUGACGAAACAGCAUAGAGUAGGACGGAGACCCGGGUCGUAAGGGUAGCGGCGACUGGGGAAAAUCACGCUGCAAAGUAUAGCACAUUUAUUUUGUAGUUUUCAUUACUGUGUUUUAUUUUCCCUGUUUCUUUUUGCCUUUUCGUUUUUCAUUAUUUUGAGCACCUGCUGCGAGUGCACCUGAACUGUA
Acipenser ruthenus (sterlet) is the source of this 1031-nucleotide long non-coding RNA. RefSeq lists it as uncharacterized. The transcript has 3 exons. NCBI's taxonomy places the organism in Eukaryota, Metazoa, Chordata, Actinopteri, Acipenseriformes, Acipenseridae. The record is from RefSeq and is a predicted model, not a curated record.